GCCAGGAUGGCUCAGUCAGUACAGUAUGCAUCUCUUGACAUCAAGGUCAUGAGUUCAAUUCCCACGCUGGGUG
RNAcentral lists this transfer RNA (73 nucleotides) under Felis catus (domestic cat). RNAcentral's name for it is "tRNA-OTHER". The record is from RNAcentral. Lineage: Eukaryota; Metazoa; Chordata; Mammalia; Carnivora; Felidae.